CAUUAACCUUUCCAAAUAAAGAAAUGAAGAUUCACAUACCCAAGUGGCUCAGAAAAUGAACUCUUCUCUGGGACUAGUGAUGCUACUCCUAUUAGUAUUUGGAGAAAGCAAUGAAGACUCCGUGACUCAGUCAGAAGGUCAAGUGACACUCUCUGAAGGGACUCCUCUGACUGUGAACUGUUCCUAUGAAACCCAACAGUACCCAGCCCUGUUCUGGUACGUGCAGUAUCCCAGAGAAGGUCCACAGCUCCUAUUCAGAGUCUCGAAGGCCAAUGAGAAGGGAAGCAGCAGAGGUUUUGAAGCUACAUAUGAUAGAGGAUCCAGUUCUUUCCACUUGCAGAAAGCCUCGGUCCAAGAGUCAGACUCUGCUGUGUACUACUGUGCUCUGAGUGGCACAGUGUCAGAAACCACAGGGGGACCUGAGCACAAACUCUGAGAAGCAGAUCAUGCCUGCUGAG
Non-coding RNA from Mesocricetus auratus (golden hamster), 458 nucleotides. The record is from the annotation of a RefSeq genome assembly. NCBI's taxonomy places the organism in Eukaryota, Metazoa, Chordata, Mammalia, Rodentia, Cricetidae.